This is a long non-coding RNA of Crotalus tigris (Tiger rattlesnake), 3571 nucleotides long. RefSeq lists it as uncharacterized. The transcript is spliced from 2 exons. Lineage: Eukaryota; Metazoa; Chordata; Lepidosauria; Squamata; Viperidae. The record is from RefSeq and is a predicted model, not a curated record.
CCUGUGCAAACUUUCCUGUAGUCCGGAUCGAACCUACCCGUGGGUGGAAAACGGUGCUCAGUUUAUUUAAGCCUAGGGUAACGCAUCUCGAUAUGGACUUGUAGGUUCCUUCUUUUUAAAUUACAGCAACCAUUUUCUACACAGUCUUUCAGGCAACUGGCCAAAACGAAACGAAACAAACAGCCAGAGGCUCGAGAUAUGCACGCACAUUCUCAAAGUGUUCUCAUAUUGGAAGGAUUGGAAGAUAAUUUGUGCAAUGUGCGAAAUGACGAAGUGAAGAAACUGGAUGUUAAAAGGGAGUUUGGGUUCCUCUGCAGCUACGAAUUUCUAUUGUGUGGGAAAUGAUCCUUGACGUUGGAAGUUAUACUUUUCGCUGCUUUAGGCAUGAUUUAAAGAUAAUCGAUUAACUGUGUACCGUUUCGGUCAUCGUUGACUCUUAGUGACCAUGUAGAGUUUGACCUUGCUGCUGGUCAUCCUCUUUCCUCCAUCUUCCCAGUAUUAGAGCUUUCUAUAGAAAGCUGGGUUUUCAGAUAAUGUGUCUAAAAUAGAAUAAUUUGAGCCUGAUCAAGCCUGACUUGAGUGAAAAGAGAACUAAGGAGGCUUGUUUAAUAAUCCAUUUGUUAAGUUUUCUUUGCUGUCCAAAGUAUUCUCAGGAGUCUUCUCCAACCCCAAAGUUCAAAGGCAUCAAAACGGAUGCUACAGUAUUUAAAUUCAGAAUGAAAUAAGACAUUGGUCAAAAAAUGUUUAAUGUUCUUUUUUCAAAAUCUUGCUAAUACAGUAAGCCACCAGCUAGGUUAUCAGAGUAAAGUUUCUCUUAAUGGAAUGUCUCCUCAGUGGUAAUCGAGUUGUCUCAUUUUCAGAGUAGGAGGAUAUCACAGAUUUGGAAGUUUUAUCACUUGAAAACCAGUAUAUUAUGCCAGUAUAGAUGACUAGAUGUUUUUUAAGCAGCAAAUAUUUGAAUUGCACUCAGUAAACUCAGCCAUGAGAAAAUACUCCCACAGCCAAGAAUUAUCUAAUACCUUGUCUCUCAGUCAGCAUUUUCUUACCAGAAGAACAGCCUGUCUGCAUAACUGGGAAAUGAAUUCAAUCCUGGCAUCCUAUCAGCUGAUUGACUUGUAAGAUAAAGGCUCUUAAAUCUUCUCGGGAACUUAAGCAGAGCAGCAAAUUAAAGGCAAUAAAAGAAACAUAAUAUUGUUUUGCAAAAUUAGGCAUGCUUUUGAAACAUGCUUUAUCUGAACAGAAGCUCAGCCCCAAAACCAUAAAUGCUAAUUUUCAAACCAGAAAUAUGUCAGAUAGGAAUGGAAGGUCAUUUGAGAGCAUCCACAGAAUGACUUACUCAUCUGAGCUGAAAUCUAUAACCAGUACCUUUAAACUUUUGGCUAAUGCGAUUCUAAACAUUUUUUUAAAUCCCAGGUCAUAUUUUUCCAUUAUUUUGUGCUGGUUUCUUUUUUUCUUUAAUGUUUAAGGGAGCCAAAAUAAAGGAGAGAUCCUUAUACACUUAUAGUACUCUUAUAUGAAAGGAUCCUGAGAAAUAUACUUCAGUAAGAGAAUGGAUAAAGAUUGCUAAAAAAAGUUCUUAGUGUUCCUGUCAAGCUACAGUUUCUUCUCAAUCUUUGGGAUAUACCAGUUGGACUCUAAAAAGUGAAACACAAACAUUAUUUGGAGGCUUGACCAGACUAUCAAAACAUUACAGAAGGCACAGUGGCAUUUCAUUGUUAACAAAACAACUUACUUACAUGACAAGGAAGUGACUUGAAGGAAUCUUUAUCUUUAAAACAACAAAACAAAACAAAGCCCUUUAUUUACCUGCAUGUUAGUACUAGUUUUUCCUAUAUUGUUAUCACCAAGAUUAAAUAUAUCAGAUGUCACAAAAACGUCUGGAAUUUGCAAUUCAGGAAAAGCCAGAAGUAUUAAUAUAUUUAAUGGUUGCAAAUUGGUCUGUCGUCAGUCCUGAGGUAGAAAAGUGUGGAAUUGCUAACAAUUAUGCUAAUUACAACUCCAAAAUCAGGAUGACUUGAAAAGUGCAUUAUGUGAAAUUGUCAGUGUCUCUUUUUUCACAUAUGGUUGGUUGUUCUGAUUAUGCCUAAUUCUUCAGAGACAAAAGUAACAUUCAGUGAAGCUUCUGAAAACAAUUUAUCAUCAUUAAGUGCUGACUAAAAAUUGUGUACCACCACUCCCAAAUUUGUCACCUGCUUUACAGGCAAUGUAAUGAUUUGGAGAGAUAUUCCUCCCUAGUUUGUGGUUAUUUAUCCUAUUGUAAUGGUGGAGGGAGAUUGGAUGGAUGGAUAGAUGGAUGGGAGAGAGAGAAUUUAGAAAGUCAGCAUACGGAAAGAGUAGAGCCCUUUGUUCUAUUUGAAAUCUCUUCUAGAACCACCCUCCAUUCUAGCUAGUUGAAAACAGCUCCCUACUGGUAGCCAAACAAUUCUCAAUCAAAGACAUAAACAGACUCUAAUUUCUCUACAAAACAGAGCAAGAAAGAACAUGUAAUUCAAAACUUCCUCAUCUCCAGAUUUAAGGAAAUGUCUGAGAUGCUUAACAUUAGCAUUCCUGAGAUAGCAUGCUUUAAUAAUUGACAGCCAAUACAAAUUUUAAAAAUAAUUCUAUACCACCUGAUUAAAUACCUCACGGACAGAUCAGCUGUUUCUGCCUAGCCCAUGUGGUUGGUGAAAUCUUUGUUGUAUUGGGAUGGUUAGGAACUGGGAUAAGGGAAAGAGAAGGGAAAAGCAAAGGUAUGGUUCCAAGGGGGACCUGAUGCCAAUGAAUGGUACAUAUGCUGAUAAAGAAAAGCCACUGGGGAAUGAAAAGCGAAAACUAUAACCAUAUCUCUAAAUAGUGGCAAUACCCAAAGACCUAUUUGCCCAAGAGAUUGCCAAACAGCAUUUUAUACAGUUGUUUAAGCCAGAAAAACUAAUUUUAAUCUGGAUCAUGUGAUCCAGGAGGAAGACUUGGGUUGCUCUGGUCAAUUUGUUGUAGUGGUUAAAAGAUCCUGGUCCAGAAGCAGGGGCCUGUGAGUUCAAGUCCCCUUUUAGAUGCAAAACCAGCUGGGUGACUUUGCUCCAGUCAUUUUCUCUCAGCCUUGGGAAGAAGGCAAGAGCAAACCACUCCUGCAAAUUUUGCCAAGAAAAACAUAGUUGCCAGAAUUCAGGGUUGACUCAGUGGGCCAUGGCUACUAAUGAGAUUACUCUACAUCAGAGGUCCCCAACAUUUUGGGCACCAGGGACCGGUUCCAUGGAGAGAGUUUUUUUCACAGAUUGGAGGGGGUGUGGUUUUGCGUGCUGCCUGCAUCCUACAGAUGGGGUUUCGCUUGUUUGCACGGACCGGUUUCUGGCAUGCCAUGGACUAGUGCCGGUCCAUGGACCAGGGAUUGAGGACCCCUGCUCUACCCAGAAUUGAAAAGAUUCAAGAUUACCCACUAUGGAGGAAUGGCUGGUAAAGUUGACAUACAGUAUUUUUCUGAAAUGGACAAUUUUAACUUUUUUGAUUACAGAAAAGAUAUCAUUUACUGUACAUUUAUUGCUGACUGGAAGUCUCUUUGGGACUUUUGACAAAAAAUGAAAUAAUGAACUUCUGA